RNAcentral lists this non-coding RNA (24 nucleotides) under Arabidopsis thaliana (thale cress). Lineage: Eukaryota; Viridiplantae; Streptophyta; Magnoliopsida; Brassicales; Brassicaceae. The record is from RNAcentral.
UAACUGCCUAAAAUCGCUUAGGUC